Molecule: long non-coding RNA, 488 nt
Organism: Juglans microcarpa x Juglans regia
Lineage: Eukaryota; Viridiplantae; Streptophyta; Magnoliopsida; Fagales; Juglandaceae
Exons: 2
Source: RefSeq, a predicted model, not a curated record
GCUAUUUAAAGGAGAAGGUACCUUUAUAGUUUCCCUAAUAUUCCUAAUUAAAAUGGUUAAUUGCAAGGUUUCGAGUACUAUCAGUACCAUUGUAUUUUACUUGAUUGUAUUUAUGAUCCUUGCAGAGGAUCAUGUAAUUUCUAUCCGAGAAAUAUCCAACCACAACAAAUUAUCUGCUUUCCGAGAAAUCACCGGAGUUGUUGAUGAUCAUCACCAGUACUACGAAGAGAAGAUUGUAAAUCAUGGCAUGAUAAGUAUCUGGAGGAGUUUAAAAGGGCACGGCUCACCUGACGAUGGGAUGGGAAACACUCCAGCUGGUGGCAUAUAGAUGCAGGAAGAAGCUGCAUGGUUUCAUUUUCAUCUACAAAACUGAUCUGUUCCAUUUAUUUUGAUGCAUAUACAAUCAAGAAAAUUCAAUGUAUUUAGAAUUUUGAAAGAUUGUAUGUACGUACCUUUCUUAAGCAAUGAUUCCUGCAUUAUGGGGUUCC